RNAcentral lists this microRNA precursor (74 nucleotides) under Caenorhabditis briggsae. Its description in RNAcentral is "pre miRNA CBG29605". It matches the Rfam family "mir-790 microRNA precursor family". Lineage: Eukaryota; Metazoa; Nematoda; Chromadorea; Rhabditida; Rhabditidae. The record is from RNAcentral.
GAUUGCUUGGCACUCGCGAACACCGCGAUCACUUCCAAUAUCGAUCCGCGGAGUUAGCCAGUGUCAACCAAAUG